AGAACGAACGCUGGCGGCAUGCCUAAUACAUGCAAGUCGAACGAGCUCUUCGGAGUUAGUGGCGCACGGGUGCGUAACGCGUGGGAAUCUGCCCUUGGGUUCGGAAUAACAGUUGGAAACGACUGCUAAUACCGGAUGAUGACGAAAGUCCAAAGAUUUAUCGCCCAGGGAUGAGCCCGCGUAGGAUUAGCUAGUUGGUGAGGUAAAGGCUCACCAAGGCGACGA
This 225-nucleotide ribosomal RNA is filed under the name uncultured soil bacterium. Its description in RNAcentral is "partial 16S ribosomal RNA". It matches the Rfam family "Bacterial small subunit ribosomal RNA", at positions 26 to 279 of the family's 1533-position model. The record is from RNAcentral.